GACGAACGCUGGCGGCGUGCCUAAUACAUGCAAGUCGAACGCAUUUUCUUUCACCGUAGCUUGCUACACCGAAAGAAAAUGAGUGGCGAACGGGUGAGUAACACGUGGGUAACCUGCCCAUCAGCGGGGGAUAACACUUGGAAACAGGUGCUAAUACCGCAUAAUUCCAUUUACCGCAUGGUAGAUGGAUGAAAGGCGCUUUUGCGUCACUGAUGGAUGGACCCGCGGUGCAUUAGCUAGUUGGUGGGGUAACGGCCUACCAAGGCUGCGAUGCAUAGCCGACCUGAGAGGGUGAUCGGCCACACUGGGACUGAGACACGGCCCAGACUCCUACGGGAGGCAGCAGUAGGGAAUCUUCGGCAAUGGACACAAGUCUGACCGAGCAACGCCGCGUGAGUGAAGAAGGUUUUCGGAUCGUAAAACUCUGUUGUUAGAGAAGAACAAGGAUGAGAGUGGAAAGUUCAUCCCUUGACGGUAUCGAACCAGAAAGCCACGGCUAACUACGU
RNAcentral lists this ribosomal RNA (506 nucleotides) under uncultured bacterium. RNAcentral describes it as "partial 16S ribosomal RNA". It matches the Rfam family "Bacterial small subunit ribosomal RNA", at positions 28 to 506 of the family's 1533-position model. The record is from RNAcentral.